UCACCCUCUCCUCUAUUUGAUUCCAUUUUAUUUUUAACCAAUGCAUGGUUAGCAUCUCAUCCUUAGCACAAUUAGGUUGGUGUUUUAUGAACGAUCAAGAAAAUGUUGUACAUAGAGCUAUACCUCUCCUGUGCACACGAUCCAAGGACAUAAAUGAACUAAUCAAUGUGACUAUCUAUUAGAUAUAAAUUUUUCAGUCAGCAAAGAAUUAAUUCAAAAUUUAUCCAAAAAAAUUCCAGAAUUGUUCCUGCUAUCAGAACAGCACACUGUUGUCCGAAACACAUCAACUAAAAUGGAAAAGUUUGAAUUAAUCAACCAUAGUACCGGGCCAUACUAUUACCCAUCAGUAAAUCAAUCACAUCUUCCAAAUGCCACCAUCGACGCACAUGAUCACAUUUCACGUCGAAAACCAUCUCGUCCCUGUUUGCACACUACCACUCGGCACCCCAAUAAAUUCUCUUCCGAACCCCAAUGUUAUUCCCCUCCCCUCCCCCCCCCCCACCGCAUAAAAUAGUAGCUAGGAAUUUGGAAGUUCGCACUCCAACAGCUUGGCAACGAGCCCAUCCGUAGUUCUUUAUGAAUCGAUACGGGAAUCCCCUACUCAGAGGCAAAAGCUGCAACCGAACCAACCCUCCACUACCAAGUAAAGAAAGGUCCCUAACAUGAUGUGGGGUCAAAACACCAUUAAUUCUCCCCAACCCUGUUCCAUGAAGAAAUAAAACAUCCUCUAGGGUUGGUGGUUGGAGCAGUGAGAUAGUAGAAUAAGCACAGUAAGUUUGGUAUUAAAAGCAAACACUACUCUUUCAAGAAGGAAGAAAGAAGAAGACAACCCCCUGUGGGGUUUGUUUGCAAGCUUUCUCACGUGUUGUCACUUCCUGAGAAAGAUGGUGAUGAUGGGCUUGUCGUCACGUCUGGCAGGGAUUCUCUGCGCAGCAAAUAAUUACACCCCGGAGAAACCUAGCGCUAGGCUGAGAAACCUAGGCACAGAAAUUUUAAAAAUGGCGAGGGAAGAAAUGAACGCCAGAAAGCUAUACGGGGCAGAGGCUCUUAGCAGAG
RNAcentral lists this long non-coding RNA (1056 nucleotides) under Elaeis guineensis (African oil palm). Its description in RNAcentral is "long non-coding RNA (EGUI_LNC005595)". The record is from RNAcentral. Lineage: Eukaryota; Viridiplantae; Streptophyta; Magnoliopsida; Arecales; Arecaceae.